CCUACGGGGGGCUGCAGUGGGGUAUAUUGGACAAUGGGGGGAACCCUGAUCCAGCCAUGCCGCGUGUGUGAAGAAGGCCCUCGGGUUGUAAAGCACUUUCAGUGAGGAAGAACGCCUGGUGGUUAAUACCCAUCAGGAAAGACAUCACUCACAGAAGAAGCACCGGCUAACUCCGUGCCAGCAGCCGCGGUAAUACGGAGGGUGCGAGCGUUAAUCGGAAUUACUGGGCGUAAAGCGCGCGUAGGUGGCUUGAUAAGCCGGUUGUGAAAGCCCCGGGCUCAACCUGGGAACGGCAUCCGGAACUGUCAAGCUAGAGUGCAGGAGAGGAAGGUAGAAUUCCCGGUGUAGCGGUGAAAUGCGUAGAGAUCGGGAGGAAUACCAGUGGCGAAGGCGGCCUUCUGGACUGACACUGACACUGAGGUGCGAAAGCGUGGGUAGCAAACAGGAUUAGAUACCCGGGUAGUC
This 465-nucleotide ribosomal RNA is filed under the name Vreelandella stevensii. RNAcentral's name for it is "partial 16S ribosomal RNA". It matches the Rfam family "Bacterial small subunit ribosomal RNA", at positions 338 to 795 of the family's 1533-position model. Lineage: Bacteria; Pseudomonadati; Pseudomonadota; Gammaproteobacteria; Oceanospirillales; Halomonadaceae. The record is from RNAcentral.